GACGAACGUUGGCGGCGUGCUUAACACAUGCAAGUCGAACGGAAAGGCCCUGCUUUUGUGGGGUGCUCGAGUGGCGAACGGGUGAGUAACACGUGAGUAACCUGCCCUUGACUUUGGGAUAACUUCAGGAAACUGGGGCUAAUACCGGAUAGGAGCUCCUGCUGCAUGGUGGGGGUUGGAAAGUUUCGGCGGUUGGGGAUGGACUCGCGGCUUAUCAGCUUGUUGGUGGGGUAGUGGCUUACCAAGGCUUUGACGGGUAGCCGGCCUGAGAGGGUGACCGGCCACAUUGGGACUGAGAUACGGCCCAGACUCCUACGGGAGGCAGCAGUGGGGAAUAUUGCACAAUGGGCGGAAGCCUGAUGCAGCAACGCCGCGUGCGGGAUGACGGCCUUCGGGUUGUAAACCGCUUUCGCCUGUGACGAAGCGUGAGUGACGGUAAUGGGUAAAGAAGCACCGGCUAACUACGUGCCAGCAGCCGCGGUGAUACGUAGGGUGCGAGCGUUGUCCGGAUUUAUUGGGCGUAAAGGGCUCGUAGGUGGUUGAUCGCGUCGGAAGUGUAAUCUUGGGGCUUAACCCUGAGCGUGCUUUCGAUACGGGUUGACUUGAGGGAGGUAGGGGAGAAUGGAAUUCCUGGCGGAGCGGUGGAAUGCGCAGAUAUCAGGAGGAACACCAGUGGCGAAGGCGGCUCUCUGGGCCUUUCCUGACGCUGAGGAGCGAAAGCGUGGGGAGCGAACAGGCUUAGAUACCCUGGUAGUCCACGCUGUAAACGGUGGGUACUAGGUGUGGGGUCCAUUCCACGGGUUCCGUGCCGUAGCUAACGCUUUAAGUACCCCGCCUGGGGAGUACGGCCGCAAGGCUAAAACUCAAAGGAAUUGACGGGGCCCCGCACAAGCGGCGGAGCAUGCGGAUUAAUUCGAUGCAACGCGUAGAACCUUACCUGGGUUUGACAUGGAUCGGGAGUGCUCAGAGAUGGGUGUGCCUCUUUUGGGGUCGGUUCACAGGUGGUGCAUGCCUGUCGUCAGCUCGUGUCGUGAGAUGUUGGGUUAAGUCCCGCAACGAGCGCAACCCUUGUUCACUGUUGCCAGCACGUUAUGGUGGGGACUCAGUGGAGACCGCCGGGGUCAACUCGGAGGAAGGUGGGGAUGACGUCAAGUCAUCAUGCCCCUUAUGUCCAGGGCUUCACGCAUGCUACAAUGGCUGGUACAGAGAGUGGCGAGCCUGUGAGGGUGAGCGAAUCUCGGAAAGCCGGUCUCAGUUCGGAUUGGGGUCUGCAACUCGACCUCAUGAAGUCGGAGUCGCUAGUAAUCGCAAAUCAGCAACGCUGCGGUGAAUACGUUCCCGGG
This 1343-nucleotide ribosomal RNA is filed under the name uncultured bacterium. Its description in RNAcentral is "16S ribosomal RNA". It matches the Rfam family "Bacterial small subunit ribosomal RNA", at positions 28 to 1378 of the family's 1533-position model. The record is from RNAcentral.